AUUUUUGAUCGUGCCUGGUAUUCGUAUUUUACUCCUUUUCUUAGCAGCCACCGCUGAAGACGCAUAGACCUCAAUUGUAGUUCCGAUUUCCGAGAUAGAGGUGGAAAAAUUUUGGAAAGUCUAUUACCCAAAAAAAAAAAAAAAAAAAAAGGAAUUUUGAGCCAAAGAUUCAAGCUUUUUUCUUGCUUUGGAAAUUGGAAGGUGCUUUUUUCCUUCUUCGAUUUCAGGUGCAAGUUUUCAAGUCCCGAGUUUGAAAUUGUGGGCAUAAGUUAUGGCAGUAAAACCAACAGUUGCCUUUAGGGCUGCUCUUGUAGGAGGAAUAGCUGCAUUCGCGAAAAUAGGUGGGGCAAUGAAGGCUGCAGGCAGUGCAAAGGUAGGUGCAGCAGCAGUUGCUAUGACGGCUGCUGCAACUGCAGCUGUUUCAGGAUCUAAACAGGAAAAGAAGGAUGCCAAGUAGCAUUUAAAGUAAUUAUUUGAAGGAUAUACUUUGUAGUUUAUGUAGUAUAUGAUCCGAAGUUCCUAGUAUCUUGGGAACAAAUUGAAUCUGUUUUGAGUCAAGAUCUUGAUUGUAAGAUGAGAAACCGGUUAAUAUAAGAGAAAUGACAUUGUUGAUUUUUAUUGAA
Long non-coding RNA from Ziziphus jujuba (common jujube), 623 nucleotides. RefSeq lists it as uncharacterized. The record is from RefSeq and is a predicted model, not a curated record. Lineage: Eukaryota; Viridiplantae; Streptophyta; Magnoliopsida; Rosales; Rhamnaceae. The transcript is spliced from 2 exons.